UUUGACAUUAAUAAUAAAAGUGUACUAAUCGCUACAGAUGCAACGCCUAGUGAUGACUUUCUA
RNAcentral lists this small RNA (63 nucleotides) under Staphylococcus aureus. RNAcentral describes it as "Transcript". Lineage: Bacteria; Bacillati; Bacillota; Bacilli; Caryophanales; Staphylococcaceae. The record is from RNAcentral.